This 552-nucleotide ribosomal RNA is filed under the name Levilactobacillus brevis. Its description in RNAcentral is "bacterial SSU rRNA". It matches the Rfam family "Bacterial small subunit ribosomal RNA", at positions 63 to 606 of the family's 1533-position model. Lineage: Bacteria; Bacillati; Bacillota; Bacilli; Lactobacillales; Lactobacillaceae. The record is from RNAcentral.
UGCACUGAUUUUAACAAUGAAGCGAGUGGCGAACUGGUGAGUAACACGUGGGAAAUCUGCCCAGAAGCAGGGGAUAACACUUGGAAACAGGUGCUAAUACCGUGUUACAACAAAAUCCGCAUGGAUUUUGUUUGAAAGGUGGCUUCGGCUAUCACUUCUGGAUGAUCCCGCGGCGUAUUAGUUAGUUGGUGAGGUAAAGGCCCACCAAGACGAUGAUACGUAGCCGACCUGAGAGGGUAAUCGACCACAUUGGGACUGAGACACGGCCCAAACUCCUACGGGAGGCAGCAGUAGGGAAUCUUCCACAAUGUUCCAAAGUCUGAUGGAGCAAUGCCGCGUGAGUGAAGAAGGGUUUCGGCUCGUAAAACUCUGUUGUUAAAGAAGAACACCUUUGAGAGUAACUGUUCAAGGGUUGACGGUAUUUAACCAGAAAGCCACGGGCUAACUACGUGCCACCAGCCGCGGUAAUACGUAGGUGGCAAGCGUUGUCCGGAUUUAUUGGGAUUAAAGCGAGCGCAGGCGGGUUUUUUAAGUCUGAUGUGAAAGCCUUCG